This 330-nucleotide long non-coding RNA is filed under the name Homo sapiens (human). RNAcentral's name for it is "non-protein coding lnc-TOMM20-2:7". The record is from RNAcentral. Lineage: Eukaryota; Metazoa; Chordata; Mammalia; Primates; Hominidae.
AGAAUUUUCUCCGGUGUGGUCAUCCUGCCUUCAGGAGGAAAAUAGAGCAAAAAGGUAGAACUUACUUCCACACCCAAGUUUCUCCUGAAAGCACUGUGCCUGUUUUGUUUGCUACACAUCUUGGGUAUGUAUGUUUGCAUCUAUGCAUGCAGGCAUGCAUGAGUUAUUUAUGUGUGUUAUUUGGUCCAGCCUUGAAGCUCCUUUUAUUUUUCAGUGAAUUGAAAGAAGGUAACCUUUGGAUGUAUAUAUUUUAGUGCUCCAGCAGAUUACCAGUGAAACAUGCCGACUCUCACCAAACCACCCCAUGUUGCCAAAUCUUCUCUCUUGGCC